RNAcentral lists this ribosomal RNA (20 nucleotides) under Dicranum fuscescens. RNAcentral's name for it is "partial 26S ribosomal RNA". The record is from RNAcentral. Lineage: Eukaryota; Viridiplantae; Streptophyta; Bryopsida; Dicranales; Dicranaceae.
AGGUGUAACGUCACGCAUCA